GGACUACACGGGUAUCUAAUCCCGUUCGCUCCCCUAGCUUUCGCCCCUGAGCGUCAGGUACCAGCCAGGACACUGCCUGCGCCUUCGGUGUUCCUCCGGAUAUCUACGCAUUUCACCACUACACCCGGAAUUCCGUGUCCCUCUCUGGUCCUCAAGUCAGCCCGUUUUUGAGACGCUCUCCCAGUGAAGCCAGGAGCUGUUACCUCAAACGCGACCGACCGCCUGCGGGCGCUUUACGCCCAGUAACUCCGGACAACGCUCGCCCCCUACGUAUUACCGCGGCGGCUGGCAC
Molecule: ribosomal RNA, 292 nt
Filed under: uncultured bacterium
Lineage: Bacteria
Description: partial 16S ribosomal RNA
Source: RNAcentral